CCUCUCCUCAAUGUGUUCUACAUCUUCACACACUUUUUGACUACUUCUUCUUCUUUUGCUGAUGUGGUGAUGAUGAAGAUGAAGAAUAUAAUAAAAUGAAAGAGAGAAUAUGUAAGAAUGAAACUAUAGAGGCAAUUGUUA
This is a non-coding RNA of Caenorhabditis elegans, 141 nucleotides long. The record is from Ensembl. NCBI's taxonomy places the organism in Eukaryota, Metazoa, Nematoda, Chromadorea, Rhabditida, Rhabditidae.